CAGCACCCCACUGAGGAACUGGGACUUUUCUUGGAGAUUGUUGUUUCUCAAGGGAAAGUGGGGUGGCACCCCUGCUUCCAGAGGCAUUUGAUGAUGCACAAGGAAAUCCAGAAGUCAUGAAAUAAACGUGACUUAGCUUUCUUGAGUUUGCAGGAGAGCACAUAAAUAAUGGAUAUUUUACGGAACCUGUAAUGCAAAAUCCCCAUACACUUAAAGCUGAAAUAGAUUUCCAUUCUGUUUGACUGUGGCGGGCUACUUCAAGAUGUGUUCUCAGGCCCGGGGACACCAUUCUGCCCACUGUGCCCUGACAGCGUGUCUGUGCAAGUGCAGGCAAAGCCCUGGGAAGUCUUGGGGGGAGAGGGGGUUGGGAAGGCUUUCUCCGAGCGAGAGGAGGUCACGUGGCAUUUCACAAAGCUCACUCCUGCUGCGCCAGUAGGGGGAAUGGUUGGCCGCAGGGGCCUGGGGCCAGAGAGAAGGAGUCCUCAGGUCUGAUUCCCUGGAGAGCAUCUCAGUGCUUUGCAAAAAUUAUCUCUAAGUCCUACCACAACUGAAAAGGGGGAUUCUAUUCGUUUUACAGCUUUACGGAGGAAGAAACUAAAGUUGAGAAGGACAAAGAGACCUUCCCAAGAUAAUGCAGCUAGUAAGUGGCUGUCUCAGAACCACACCAGCCAGACUCCAGAAAUCCCGUUGCCCAGGCCCAAAGUAUCAGUACUGACCAUCUCCUCCUCCCUGUAAAUCUCAAUCAACACUGUCAUGGGGUCAACCUCAGAGAGAAAAGAGUGUCCCCUGCUUCUGCUCAGUGUCCAGGAGUAUCCCGAACAGAAGGUAGGGCCCUCUGACAAUGUCAGCCACCAGACCAGGCUCCAAGAAGUGGCCAAGCUCCAAGAGGAUGGGUGAGAAACACUCUGAAAAGUGCUCAACCAACCGCUGAUGACUCCCCGGAAGGCUUGCCUUCCUGCCUGGGUUGGGCCUUUGGGUCAGGAUCUCACCAGGCACAGUGACCAUUUGGGGACAUUUCCUCUUGUCUCCUGUAUACAGAUCAUCGUGGGAGCAUGCACCCCACCCAUCUCAGGGCUAUGUGUUCUUUGGCUAGCAAAGAAAGGGGAACCCAAACAUCAAAGCUGGCCAUUAACAAAAAUGUUAUGUUGUAGACUUGUA
Long non-coding RNA from Neofelis nebulosa (Clouded leopard), 1158 nucleotides. RefSeq lists it as uncharacterized. The record is from RefSeq and is a predicted model, not a curated record. The transcript has 2 exons. Lineage: Eukaryota; Metazoa; Chordata; Mammalia; Carnivora; Felidae.